RNAcentral lists this ribosomal RNA (69 nucleotides) under Silene dioica (red campion). Its description in RNAcentral is "partial 5.8S ribosomal RNA". The record is from RNAcentral. Lineage: Eukaryota; Viridiplantae; Streptophyta; Magnoliopsida; Caryophyllales; Caryophyllaceae.
CAUCGAGGUUUUGAACGCAAGUUACGCCCAAAGCCUUUGGCUAAGGAAUCGUCUACCUGAGCGUCACAC